This is a long non-coding RNA of Sander lucioperca (pikeperch), 97 nucleotides long. RefSeq lists it as uncharacterized. The transcript has 3 exons. Lineage: Eukaryota; Metazoa; Chordata; Actinopteri; Perciformes; Percidae. The record is from RefSeq and is a predicted model, not a curated record.
CUUAACUGUUGUCGCAAAAUAACGCUCACUUUUUGUCGCCUAAACAUAACCGUAAUGUCCGCCGAAACGACCGGCAGCUCCCGGUGCUCUAUACACG